UGAAAUACUGGUUCCCGUAUGAUCACCAAAGAUAAGCAAUGUUGAGCCUGGUCAGUAUUUAAAUGGGUGAUCACUUGGGAAUGCCAGAU
This is a non-coding RNA of Acanthosepion pharaonis, 89 nucleotides long. The record is from the annotation of a GenBank genome assembly. Lineage: Eukaryota; Metazoa; Mollusca; Cephalopoda; Sepiida; Sepiidae.